CCCUCUCCCUAGCCCGGUGUGCAGUCUGACCCAGCCCCCACAGCAGACCACCCCCAGACCGGGCGCCCGAGUCUGCGGACCGCUCUACCGCACCUGGUUCUGGCUCUGGGCCCCGGGCCCCGUGGCUGCCAGGGGCCGCCGGGAAGGGAGGAUGCGCGCCACUGGGGUGCGCCUGGCUUGCGGCACCCUCCUCCCGCAGUGGUCGGAAGAGGACUUCUGUAGACAAGACAGAUACUGUAAAGACAGCAAAGAACAAACAGAAUGGCAGAUUGCUAAUGUUUGAUCCAAACGAAAAAGUGAUGAUUGAAUCAAACGAAGCAAUGUCAGAUAAAUGCCUCUUUGGACGCAGACCAAGAUUGACAAGCAAACUUAAUACCUCACCAACACAGGUCUCUGUAAAUGUAGCUAAAACAUUCUCAGAAAAGAAGGAAGUCCCUUCUAAGAAUAUUGCAAAUAAAGUCUCUUUACAGACUACUGAAAAUAGAGUAUCUUCAAGGAGUAUCGAAAGUAAAGAUAUCUUAACAAAUCUACAGUCUGACCUAUUGUCAUCUUCCUGCUUAAAAGAAAGCACAGGUAAU
Molecule: long non-coding RNA, 578 nt
Filed under: Homo sapiens (human)
Lineage: Eukaryota; Metazoa; Chordata; Mammalia; Primates; Hominidae
Description: non-protein coding lnc-ERICH2-1:16
Source: RNAcentral